UCAUAAGCGGAGGAAAGAAACCAACAGGGAUUGCCCUAGUAACGGCGAGUGAAGCGGCAACAGCUCAAAUUUGAAAUCUGGCCCUUGGGUCCGAGUUGUAAUUUGUAGAGGAUGCUUUUGGUACGGCGCCUUCCGAGUUCCCUGGAACGGGACGCCAUAGAGGGUGAGAGCCCCGUACGGUUGGAUGCCUAGCCUCUGUAAAGCUCUUUCGACGAGUCGAGUAGUUUGGGAAUGCUGCUCUAAAUGGGAGGUAAAUUUCUUCUAAAGCUAAAUACCGGCCAGAGACCGAUAGCGCACAAGUAGAGUGAUCGAAAGAUGAAAAGCACUUUGAAAAGAGGGUUAAAUAGCACGUGAAAUUGUUGAAAGGGAAGCGCUUAUGACCAGACUUUUACCUGGCGGAUCAUCCGGCGUUCUCGCCGGUGCACUUCGCUAGGUUGAGGCCAGCAUCGAUUUUUGUAGGGGGAUAAAGACUUCGGGAAAGUAGCUCUCUUCGGGGAGUGUUAUAGCCCGCUGUGUAAUACCCUUACGGGGAUCGAGGUUCGCGCUCUGCAAGGAUGCUGGCAUAAUGGUCAUCAGUGACCCGUCUUGAAACACGGACCAAGGAGUCGAACAUUUAUGCNNNNNNNNNNNNNNNNNNCCCUCACGCGUAAUGAAAGUGAACGGAGGUGAGAGCCCUUAAGGGUGCAUCAUCGACCGAUCCUGAAGUCUUCGGAUGGAUUUGAGUAAGAGCAUAACUGUUCGGACCCGAAAGAUGGUGAACUAUGCGUGGAUAGGGUGAAGCCAGAGGAAACUCUGGUGGAGGCUCGCAGCGGUUCUGACGUGCAAAUCGAUCGUCAAAUCUGCGCAUGGGGGCGAAAGACUAAUCGAACCAUUAACGGAGAGACCAGCGGUAAAUAAUUAUUUACUAGGUGGUUAAUAGGCUUCUUGCGAGAGGAAGCCUAGGUCGGACUUACCCGGGAUGAACCGGGUAACCCUUACCCCGGGACCUACCCGGUAGCUCCCUACCCGGGAGUUACCCUGUAGUACCGGGUAGCCGGCCGACACCGCUAAAUUGCGGGGACAUCCUACAGAAGGCUCCAGGCUACCGCCGCGUGCUGAAAAGCGUCCGCGGCACCAAGAAUAGCGCUCUUGGGUAUGGUAAAAACGCCUGGGGUAUCGGACGACCUGCAGCCAACCCCGCCAGCCCUAGAAGGGCCCAGGGGAGAGUUCACUGACUAAACAGCGGUGGGUCUUGCGGCGAGAGCCGUAGGGCUUAAGACAUAGUCGAUCUGGGCCCUGAAAAGGUGACCCUAAAGUAUUAUACUUAGCGGAGCUAGUAGCUGGUUACCGCCGAAGUUUCCCUCAGGAUAGCAGUGUUGUUUUCAGUUUUAUGAGGUAAAGCGAAUGAUUAGGGACUCGGGGGCGCCUUUUAGCCUUCAUCCAUUCUCAAACUUUAAAUAUGUAAGAAGCCCUUGUUACUUAACUGAACGUGGGCAUUCGAAUGAACCAACACUAGUGGGCCAUUUUUGGUAAGCAGAACUGGCGAUGCGGGAUGAACCGAACGCGAGGUUAAGGUGCCAGAGUAGACGCUCAUCAGACACCACAAAAAGGUGUUAGUACAUCUUGACAGCAGGACGGUGGCCAUGGAAGUCGGAAUCCGCUAAAGGACUGUGUAACAACUCACCUGCCGAAUGUACUAGCCCUGAAAAUGGAUGGCGCUCAAGCGUCUCACCCAUACCUCGCCCUUAGGGUAGAAACGAUGCCCUAAGGAGUAGGCGGCCGUGGAGGUCAGUGAC
Molecule: ribosomal RNA, 1775 nt
Filed under: Xylariales sp. MUT 1369
Lineage: Eukaryota; Fungi; Ascomycota; Sordariomycetes; Xylariales
Description: eukaryotic LSU rRNA
Rfam family: Eukaryotic large subunit ribosomal RNA
Source: RNAcentral